Molecule: ribosomal RNA, 231 nt
Filed under: uncultured bacterium
Lineage: Bacteria
Description: partial 16S ribosomal RNA
Rfam family: Bacterial small subunit ribosomal RNA
Source: RNAcentral
GACGAACGCUGGCGGCGUGCUUAACACAUGCAAGUCGAGCGGUAAGGCCCUUUCGGGGGUACACGAGCGGCGAACGGGUGAGUAACACGUGGGUGACCUGCCCUCAGCUCUGGGAUAAGCCUGGGAAACCGGGUCUAAUACCGGAUAUGACUCCAUGACGCAUGUUGUGGGGUGGAAAGCCUUGUGCGGCUGAGGAUGGGCCCGCGGCCUAUCAGCUUGUUGGUGGGGGGA